GUGCUCACGAUGAUGGCAGCACCUAUACUAAAGUUGGAAUGAAGCAGAGGCUUAGCAUAGCCCUUGUGCAAAUAUGACACAUAAAUUCAUGAAGUGGUCCAUAUUUAA
Small nuclear RNA from Acomys russatus (golden spiny mouse), 108 nucleotides. The record is from RefSeq and is a predicted model, not a curated record. NCBI's taxonomy places the organism in Eukaryota, Metazoa, Chordata, Mammalia, Rodentia, Muridae.